CAGAAAAUAUCUAGUUAGGAUGGUAGCUUUGGGAGUUGUUGGUGUAAGUGAAGGACUUACUUUUCUGA
Molecule: transfer RNA, 68 nt
Filed under: Hippasteria spinosa
Lineage: Eukaryota; Metazoa; Echinodermata; Asteroidea; Valvatida; Goniasteridae
Description: tRNA-Pro
Source: RNAcentral